AGCCCCCCUCAAGAUGAGAUUUCCCAUUCCGCAAGGAAGUAAGAUCCCUGAAAGAUGAUCAGGUUGAUAGGUCUGAGGUGGAAGUGUGGCGACACAUGGAGCUGACAGAUACUAAUCGAUCGAGGACUUAACCUA
Molecule: ribosomal RNA, 135 nt
Filed under: Bacillus paralicheniformis
Lineage: Bacteria; Bacillati; Bacillota; Bacilli; Caryophanales; Bacillaceae
Description: partial 23S ribosomal RNA
Rfam family: Bacterial large subunit ribosomal RNA
Source: RNAcentral